RNAcentral lists this ribosomal RNA (253 nucleotides) under uncultured bacterium. Its description in RNAcentral is "partial 16S ribosomal RNA". It matches the Rfam family "Bacterial small subunit ribosomal RNA", at positions 524 to 776 of the family's 1533-position model. The record is from RNAcentral.
AACGUAGGUACCGAGCGUUAUCCGGAUUUACUGGGCGUAAAGCGCGUUCAGGCGGUUUGGCAAGUCGGGCAUGAAAUCUCUCGGCUCAACCGGGAGAGGUUGUCCGAUACUGCUGGACUUGAGGGCAGUAGAGGGUGGUGGAAUUCCGGGUGUAGUGGUGAAAUGCGUAGAUAUGCGGAGGAACACCGAUGGCGAAGGCAAUCCCCUGGGCCUGCACUGACGCUCAUGCACGAAAGCGUGGGGAGCAAACAGG